UCCUUUGCACAGUGGCAGUAUUAUAGCCUAUGAGGUAACACUGAGGUGUGAUUGUUGUUAGUUGAAAACUUUUCCCAGUAUCCCUCCUGUAAGAAGCAUGGCUUUAACACUGCAAAACUUGCCCUGGUCAUUCAC
Molecule: small nuclear RNA, 135 nt
Filed under: Sphenodon punctatus (tuatara)
Lineage: Eukaryota; Metazoa; Chordata; Lepidosauria; Sphenodontia; Sphenodontidae
Description: U4 spliceosomal RNA (ENSSPUG00000013096.1)
Rfam family: U4 spliceosomal RNA
About the family: U4 small nuclear RNA (U4 snRNA) is a component of the major U2-dependent spliceosome.
Source: RNAcentral